This 450-nucleotide ribosomal RNA is filed under the name uncultured bacterium. Its description in RNAcentral is "bacterial SSU rRNA". It matches the Rfam family "Bacterial small subunit ribosomal RNA", at positions 354 to 796 of the family's 1533-position model. The record is from RNAcentral.
GUGGGGAAUAUUGGACAAUGGGCGCAAGCCUGAUCCAGCAAUGCCGCGUGCAGGAAGAAGGCCUUCGGGUUGUAAACUGCUUUUGUACGGAACGAAACGGUCCGGGUUAAUACCCUGGGCUAAUGACGGUACCGUAAGAAUAAGCACCGGCUAACUACGUGCCAGCAGCCGCGGUAAUACGUAGGGUGCGAGCGUUAAUCGGAAUUACUGGGCGUAAAGCGUGCGCAGGCGGUGCUGUAAGACAGGCGUGAAAUCCCCGGGCUCAACCUGGGAAUUGCGCUUGUGACUGCAGUGCUGGAGUACGGCAGAGGGGGAUGGAAUUCCGCGUGUAGCAGUGAAAUGCGUAGAUAUGCGGAGGAACACCGAUGGCGAAGGCAGUCCCCUGGGCCUGUACUGACGCUCAUGCACGAAAGCGUGGGGAGCAAACAGGAUUAGAUACCCUUGUAGUCC